AUGCCUUACACUUAUGAGUAAGGAAAAUAGCAAUUCAGGGUGAUCCUCACUGCUAAUGUGAGAUAAAUUUUUGAGCAGGUAAAGUUUGCCCCUAAGGUGACCUGCCUGCUUUGCAGGAUGCCUGGAAGUCGUGAUCUGCCUG
Molecule: small nuclear RNA, 142 nt
Filed under: Carlito syrichta (Philippine tarsier)
Lineage: Eukaryota; Metazoa; Chordata; Mammalia; Primates; Tarsiidae
Description: U12 minor spliceosomal RNA (ENSTSYG00000023687.2)
Rfam family: U12 minor spliceosomal RNA
About the family: Although the U12 sequence is very divergent from that of U2, the two are functionally analogous.
Source: Rfam by way of RNAcentral